Molecule: long non-coding RNA, 342 nt
Organism: Arabidopsis thaliana (thale cress)
Lineage: Eukaryota; Viridiplantae; Streptophyta; Magnoliopsida; Brassicales; Brassicaceae
Product: other RNA
Exons: 1
Source: RefSeq
AAAAAGUAAGACAAGGCCAGAGCAAGAGCCUAGAACCUGAAACUCCAACUUUAGGGUUUCUUAGGCUCUCGGUGACGUUGACCCGAAGAAAGGGAGGUAACAGACCAAUUUGCAGCCAUCUCUAGCGAUGUAAAGCAAAUUGGAUACGACCCGACACAAGUGUUCAGAUUGAAAACACAGAUCGUCGGAUAUGUGCGAGUUGAUUGAUAGAUUCGUGCAUCACAUCAUCGCAAGAGAUAUUUGAGAUCCAAUCUGAAGAGAAUGUCGUUGACGAGAUGUGAGAUUUGCUUCGUCUUUUGAGGUGAUUACUACUUUGUGAUUUGGUGCUUGUGAUACUGUUUA